GCUGGGUGUGGUGGUGCACGCCUGUAGUCCCAGCUACUUGGGAGGCUGAGGCAGGAGAAUCGCUUGAACCCAGGAGGCAGAGGUUACAGUGAACUGAGAUCAUGCCACUGCACUCCAGCCUGGGCAACAGAGCGAGACUCUGUCUCAA
This is an unclassified non-coding RNA of Callithrix jacchus (white-tufted-ear marmoset), 148 nucleotides long. It matches the Rfam family "Metazoan signal recognition particle RNA". From Rfam's summary of the family: The signal recognition particle (SRP) is a universally conserved ribonucleoprotein. It is involved in the co-translational targeting of proteins to membranes. The record is from Ensembl. Lineage: Eukaryota; Metazoa; Chordata; Mammalia; Primates; Cebidae.